UGGGGAAUAUUUCACAAUGGGCGCAAGCCUGAUGCAGCCAUGCCGCGUGUAUGAAGAAGGCCUUCGGGUUGUAAAGUACUUUCAGCGGGGAGGAAGGGAGUAAAGUUAAUACCUUUGCUCAUUGACGUUACCCACAGAAGAAGCACCGGCUAACUCCGUGCCAGCAGCCGCGGUAAUACGGAGGGUGCAAGCGUUAAUCGGAAUUACUGGGCGUAAAGCGCACGCAGGCGGUUUGUUAAGUCAGAUGUGAAAUCCCCGGGCUCAACCUGGGAACUGCAUCUGAUACUGGCAAGCUUGAGUCUCGUAGAGGGGGGUAGAAUUCCAGGUGUAGCGGUGAAAUGCGUAGAGAUCUGGAGGAAUACCGGUGGCGAAGGCGGCCCCCUGGACGAAGACUGACGCUCAGGUGCGAAAGCGUGGGGAGCAAACAGG
RNAcentral lists this ribosomal RNA (429 nucleotides) under Chloroflexota bacterium. Its description in RNAcentral is "Chloroflexi bacterium partial 16S ribosomal RNA". It matches the Rfam family "Bacterial small subunit ribosomal RNA", at positions 355 to 776 of the family's 1533-position model. Lineage: Bacteria; Bacillati; Chloroflexota. The record is from RNAcentral.